RNAcentral lists this ribosomal RNA (253 nucleotides) under uncultured bacterium. Its description in RNAcentral is "partial 16S ribosomal RNA". It matches the Rfam family "Bacterial small subunit ribosomal RNA", at positions 524 to 776 of the family's 1533-position model. The record is from RNAcentral.
UACAGAGGGUGCAAGCGUUGUUCGGAAUUAUUGGGCGUAAAGAGCUCGUAGGCGGCCUGUUGCGUCCGCUGUGAAAUCCCGGGGCUCAACCCCGGGCCUGCAGUGGAUACGGGCUGGCUGGAGGCAGGCAGGGGAGAACGGAAUUCCUGGUGUAGCGGUGAAAUGCGCAGAUAUCAGGAGGAACACCGGUGGCGAAGGCGGUUCUCUGGGCCUGUUCUGACGCUGAGGAGCGAAAGCGUGGGGAGCGAACAGG